This 452-nucleotide ribosomal RNA is filed under the name uncultured bacterium. RNAcentral describes it as "bacterial SSU rRNA". It matches the Rfam family "Bacterial small subunit ribosomal RNA", at positions 12 to 454 of the family's 1533-position model. The record is from RNAcentral.
UUUGAUCCUGGCUCAGGACGAACGCUGGCGGCGUGCCUAAUACAUGCAAGUAGAACGCUGAAGUCUGGUGCUUGCACUAGACGGAUGAGUUGCGAACGGGUGAGUAACGCGUAGGUAACCUGCCUCAUAGCGGGGGAUAACUAUUGGAAACGAUAGCUAAUACCGCAUAACAGUAUUUACUGCAUGGUAGAUACUUGAAAGGAGCAAUUGCUUCACUAUGAGAUGGACCUGCGUUGUAUUAGCUAGUUGGUAAGGUAACGGCUUACCAAGGCGAUGAUGCAUAGCCGAGUUGAGAGACUGAUCGGCCACAAUGGAACUGAGACACGGUCCAUACUCCUACGGGAGGCAGCAGUAGGGAAUCUUCCACAAUGGGCGCAAGCCUGAUGGAGCAACACCGCGUGAGUGAAGAAGGGUUUCGGCUCGUAAAGCUCUGUUGUUGGAGAAGAACUGUG